Molecule: ribosomal RNA, 253 nt
Filed under: uncultured bacterium
Lineage: Bacteria
Description: partial 16S ribosomal RNA
Rfam family: Bacterial small subunit ribosomal RNA
Source: RNAcentral
UACGUAGGGUGCAAGCGUUAAUCGGAAUUACUGGGCGUAAAGCGUGCGCAGGCGGUGAUGUAAGACAGGUGUGAAAGCCCCGGGCUUAACCUGGGAACGGCAUUUGAAACUGGCAGGCUGGAGUGCGGCAGAGGGGGGUGGAAUUCCACGUGUAGCAGUGAAAUGCGUAGAUAUCAAGAGGAACACCUGCGGCGAAGGCGGGUUGCCGGGCCGACACUGACGCUGAGGCGCGAAAGCCAGGGGAGCGAACGGG